AGAGUUUGAUCCUGGCUCAGAGUGAACGCUGGCGGCGUGCUUAACACAUGCAAGUCGAACGAGAACGGAUUAUAGCUUGCUAUAAUUGUCAGCUAAGUGGCGCACGGGUGAGUAAUAGUAUAGGUAAUGUGCCCUAGAGAAGAGGAUAACGAGUUGGAAACGACUGCUAAGACUCUAUAUGCCGUUUAAGACAGAAGUCUGCAAGGGGAAAUACUUUAUAGCUUCUAGGAUCAGCCUGUACAGUAUCAGUUAGUUGGUGAGGUAAUGGCUCACCAAGACAAUGACGCUUAACUGGUUUGAGAGGAUGAUCAGUCACACUGGAACUGAGACACGGUCCAGACUCCUACGGGAGGCAGCAGUGGGGAAUAUUGCACAAUGGACGAAAGUCUGAUGCAGCAACGCCGCGUGGAGGAUGACACAUUUCGGUGCGUAAACUCCUUUUAUAUGGGAAGAUAAUGACGGUACCGUAUGAAUAAGCACCGGCUAACUCCGUGCCAGCAGCCGCGGUAAUA
RNAcentral lists this ribosomal RNA (512 nucleotides) under uncultured bacterium. RNAcentral's name for it is "bacterial SSU rRNA". It matches the Rfam family "Bacterial small subunit ribosomal RNA", at positions 8 to 525 of the family's 1533-position model. The record is from RNAcentral.